CGAAGGGGGCUAGCGUUGCUCGGAAUUACUGGGCGUAAAGGGUGCGCAGGCGGUGGCCCGCGUGGGCGGUGAAAGCUCCUGGCUCAACUGGGAGAGGGCCGUCCAGACGGGGUCACUUGAGGGGCGGAGAGGGGCGUGGAAUUCCGGGUGGAGCGGUGAAAUGCGUAGAGAUCCGGAGGAACACCGACGGCGAAGGCAGCGCCCUGGCCGCCAUCUGACGCUCAGGCACGAAAGCUGGGGGAGCGAACAGG
This 251-nucleotide ribosomal RNA is filed under the name uncultured bacterium. RNAcentral's name for it is "partial 16S ribosomal RNA". It matches the Rfam family "Bacterial small subunit ribosomal RNA", at positions 526 to 776 of the family's 1533-position model. The record is from RNAcentral.